UGGGAUGUGGCUCAGCGGUAGAGUUCUCACCUAGCACGUGCGAGACCCUGGGUUCGAUUCUCUGUACCACAU
Molecule: transfer RNA, 72 nt
Filed under: Ictidomys tridecemlineatus (thirteen-lined ground squirrel)
Lineage: Eukaryota; Metazoa; Chordata; Mammalia; Rodentia; Sciuridae
Also listed under: 1 other name
Description: Spermophilus tridecemlineatus (thirteen-lined ground squirrel) tRNA
Rfam family: tRNA
About the family: Transfer RNA (tRNA) molecules are approximately 80 nucleotides in length.
Source: Rfam by way of RNAcentral